UACAGAGGGUGCGAGCGUUAAUCGGAAUUACUGGGCGUAAAGCGCGCGUAGGCGGCUUUGCAAGUCGGGUGUGAAAUCCCCAGGCUCAACCUGGGAACUGCAUUCGAGACUGCAUUGCUAGAGUAUGGGAGAGGGAAGUGGAAUUCCCGGUGUAGCGGUGAAAUGCGCAGAUAUCGGGAAGAACACCCGUGGCGAAGGCGGCUCUCUGGGACGGUACUGACGCUGAGACGCGAAAGCGUGGGGAGCGAACAGG
RNAcentral lists this ribosomal RNA (253 nucleotides) under uncultured bacterium. Its description in RNAcentral is "partial 16S ribosomal RNA". It matches the Rfam family "Bacterial small subunit ribosomal RNA", at positions 524 to 776 of the family's 1533-position model. The record is from RNAcentral.